Molecule: ribosomal RNA, 465 nt
Filed under: uncultured bacterium
Lineage: Bacteria
Description: partial 16S ribosomal RNA
Rfam family: Bacterial small subunit ribosomal RNA
Source: RNAcentral
CCUACGGUGGGCAGCAGUGGGGAAUAUUGCGCAAUGGGCGAAAGCCUGAAGCAGCGACGCCGCGUGAGGGAUGAAGGUCUUCGGAUUGUAAACCUCUGUCAGCAGGGAAGAACGGUCACUGUGCUAAUCAGCAGUGAAUUGACGGUACCUGCCAAGGAAGCCACGGCUAACUCCGUGCCCGCAGCCGCGGUCAUACGGAGGGUGCUAGCGUUAAUCGGAAUUACUGGGCGUAAAGGGCGCGUAGGCGGUAUGUCAAGUCAAGGGUGAAAUCCCCGGGGUGAAUGUCGGAAGUGCCUUUGAAACUGGCAAACUGGAGUGUGUGAGAGGAUAGUGGAAUGCCAGGUGUAGGAGUGAAAUCCGGAGAUAUCUGGAGGAACAUCGGUGGCGAAGGCGACUAUCUGGCACAUAACUGACGCUGAGGAGCGAAAGCGUGGGUAGCAAACAGGAUUAGAUACCCCAGUAGUC